UAGGGAAUCUUCGGCAAUGGGGGCAACCCUGACCGAGCAACGCCGCGUGAGUGAAGAAGGUUUUCGGAUCGUAAAGCUCUGUUGUAAGAGAAGAACGUGUGUGAGAGUGGAAAGUUCACACAGUGACGGUAACUUACCAGAAAGGGACGGCUAACUACGUGCCAGCAGCCGCGGUAAUACGUAGGUCCCGAGCGUUGUCCGGAUUUAUUGGGCGUAAAGCGAGCGCAGGCGGUUUAAUAAGUCUGAAGUUAAAGGCAGUGGCUUAACCAUUGUUCGCUUUGGAAACUGUUAAACUGGAGUGCAGAAGGGGAGAGUGGAAUUCCAUGUGUAGCGGUGAAAUGCGUAGAUAUAUGGAGGAACACCGGUGGCGAAAGCGGCUCUCUGGUCUGUAACUGACGCUGAGGCUCGAAAGCGUGGGGAGCAAACAGG
RNAcentral lists this ribosomal RNA (429 nucleotides) under bacterium. RNAcentral describes it as "partial 16S ribosomal RNA". It matches the Rfam family "Bacterial small subunit ribosomal RNA", at positions 355 to 776 of the family's 1533-position model. The record is from RNAcentral.